RNAcentral lists this ribosomal RNA (462 nucleotides) under uncultured bacterium. RNAcentral describes it as "partial 16S ribosomal RNA". It matches the Rfam family "Bacterial small subunit ribosomal RNA", at positions 331 to 792 of the family's 1533-position model. The record is from RNAcentral.
CCAGACUCCUACGGGAGGCAGCAGUGGGGAAUAUUGCACAAUGGGGGGAACCCUGAUGCAGCGACGCCGCGUGAGUGAAGAAGUAUUUCGGUAUGUAAAGCUCUAUCAGCAGGGAAGAAAAACCGACCAUAGGGUCGCUAGACGGUACCUGAUUAAGAAGCCCCGGCUAACUACGUGCCAGCAGCCGCGGUAAUACGUAGGGGGCAAGCGUUAUCCGGAUUUACUGGGUGUAGAGGGAGCGUAGACGGCAGCGCAAGUCUGAAGUGAAAUGCCGGGGCUUAACCCCGGAACUGCUUUGGAAACUGUGUAACUGGAGUACAGGAGGGGCAGGCGGAAUUCCUGGUGUAGCGGUGAAAUGCGUAGAUAUCAGGAGGAACACCGGCGGCGAAGGCGGCCUGCUGGACUGAAACUGACGUUGAGGCUCGAAAGCGUGGGGAGCAAACAGGAUUAGAUACCCGCGUA